RNAcentral lists this unclassified non-coding RNA (301 nucleotides) under uncultured fungus. RNAcentral's name for it is "sequence contains ITS2". The stretch from base 1 to 52 matches the Rfam family "5.8S ribosomal RNA", at positions 103 to 154 of the family's 154-position model. The record is from RNAcentral. Lineage: Eukaryota; Fungi.
AACGCACAUUGCGCCCGCCAGUAUUCUGGCGGGCAUGCCUGUUCGAGCGUCAUUUUCAACCCUCAAGCCCCCCCUCCCCCCUAGGGGGAGGAUGCUUGGUGUUGGGGGCCGGCGACCUCGCUGCUCUGGCAGCGUGCGCCGCCCCCGAAACGAAUCGGCGGACUCGCCGCGGCCUCCUCUGCGUAGUAGUGUCACAACCUCGCAGCAGGAGCGCGGCGUGCCCACUGCCGUAAAAAGACGCCCCCCCGGGGCUGUUUCUAAAGUUGACCUCGAAUCAGGUAGGAAUACCCGCUGAACUUAA